This 73-nucleotide transfer RNA is filed under the name Bos taurus (domestic cattle). It matches the Rfam family "tRNA". Rfam says of the family: Transfer RNA (tRNA) molecules are approximately 80 nucleotides in length. Their secondary structure includes four short double-helical elements and three loops (D, anti-codon, and T loops). Further hydrogen bonds mediate the characteristic L-shaped molecular structure. tRNAs have two regions of fundamental functional importance: the anti-codon, which is responsible for specific mRNA codon recognition, and the 3' end, to which the tRNAs corresponding amino acid is attached (by aminoacyl-tRNA synthetases). tRNAs cope with the degeneracy of the genetic code in two manners: having more than one tRNA (with a specific anti-codon) for a particular amino acid; and 'wobble' base-pairing, i.e. permitting non-standard base-pairing at the 3rd anti-codon position. Lineage: Eukaryota; Metazoa; Chordata; Mammalia; Artiodactyla; Bovidae. The record is from Rfam by way of RNAcentral. RNAcentral also lists the same sequence under 5 other names.
UCUCUGGUGGUCCAGUGGCCAAGACUCUGCACUCCAAAUGCAGGGGGCCUGGGUUUGAUCCCUGGUCUGGGAA